GACGAACGCUGGCGGCGUGCUUAACACAUGCAAGUCGAACGGAAAGGCCUGCUUUCCCUUGUGGAUUGCGGGUACUCGAGUGGCGAACGGGUGAGUAACACGUGAGUGAUCUGCCCCCAACUUGGGUAUAAGCCUGGGAAACUGGGUCUAAUUCCCGAUAGGACUGCAGGGUGGUGCCUGUGGUGGAAAACGAUUUUCUAGUGGUUGGGGAUGAGCUCGCGGCCUAUCAGCUUGUUGGUGGGGUAAUGGCCUACCAAGGCGGCGACGGGUAGCCGGCCUGAGAGGGUGGACGGGCACAUUGGGACUGAGAUACGGCCCAGACUCCUACGGGAGGCAGCAGUGGGGAAUAGUGGACAAUGGGCGGAAGCCUGAUGCAGCGACGCCGCGUGGGGGAUGACGGCCUUCGGGUUGUAAACUCCUUUCGACCGCGAGGAAGCCACCUGGUUGGAAGGGUGGUGACGGUAGUGGUAGAAGAAGCACCGGCUAACUACGUG
RNAcentral lists this ribosomal RNA (494 nucleotides) under uncultured bacterium. RNAcentral describes it as "partial 16S ribosomal RNA". It matches the Rfam family "Bacterial small subunit ribosomal RNA", at positions 28 to 507 of the family's 1533-position model. The record is from RNAcentral.